This 601-nucleotide ribosomal RNA is filed under the name uncultured earthworm cast bacterium. RNAcentral's name for it is "bacterial SSU rRNA". It matches the Rfam family "Bacterial small subunit ribosomal RNA", at positions 45 to 642 of the family's 1533-position model. The record is from RNAcentral.
GGCCUAACACAUGCAAGUCGAGCGGAUGACAGGAGCUUGCUCCUGAAUUCAGCGGCGGACGGGUGAGUAAUGCCUANGAAUCUGCCUGGUAGUGGGGGACAACGUCUCGAAAGGGACGCUAAUACCGCAUACGUCCUACGGGAGAAAGCAGGGGACCUUCGGGCCUUGCGCUAUCAGAUGAGCCUAGGUCGGAUUAGCUAGUUGGUGAGGUAAUGGCUCACCAAGGCGACGAUCCGUAACUGGUCUGAGAGGAUGAUCAGUCACACUGGAACUGAGACACGGUCCAGACUCCUACGGGAGGCAGCAGUGGGGAAUAUUGGACAAUGGGCGAAAGCCUGAUCCACCAUGCCGCGUGUGUGAAGAAGGUCUUCGGAUUGUAAAGCACUUUAAGUUGGGAGGAAGGGCAGUAACUUAAUACGUUGCUGUUUUGACGUUACCGACAGAAUAAGCACCGGCUAACUCUGUGCCAGCAGCCGCGGUAAUACAGAGGGUGCAAGCGUUAAUCGGAAUUACUGGGCGUAAAGCGCGCGUAGGUGGUUUGUUAAGUUGGAUGUGAAAGCCCCGGGCUCAACCUGGGAACUGCAUUCAAAACUGACAAGCU